GGAUUAAUUUGUUGGUCGUGCCUUGGUACGUACUGGUAUUAUUGAUUCCUACCUUCUGAAGAGCCUCGAUGUCAUUAAUUUGGUGUCUUGGGGAAUCAGGACUGUUACUUUGAAAAAAAUUAGAGUGUUUAAAGCAGGCUCGCGCUUGAAUACAUUAGCAUGGAAUAAUGAAAUAGGACGUUUGAUUCUAUUUUGUUGGUUUCUAGGAUCGACGUAAUGAUU
RNAcentral lists this ribosomal RNA (222 nucleotides) under uncultured Glomeromycotina. Its description in RNAcentral is "partial 18S ribosomal RNA". The stretch from base 37 to 222 matches the Rfam family "Eukaryotic small subunit ribosomal RNA", at positions 684 to 870 of the family's 1831-position model. Lineage: Eukaryota; Fungi; Glomeromycota. The record is from RNAcentral.